RNAcentral lists this ribosomal RNA (494 nucleotides) under uncultured bacterium. RNAcentral's name for it is "partial 16S ribosomal RNA". It matches the Rfam family "Bacterial small subunit ribosomal RNA", at positions 28 to 507 of the family's 1533-position model. The record is from RNAcentral.
GACGAACGCUGGCGGCGCGCUUAACACAUGCAAGUCGAACGGAAAGGCCUGCUUUCCCUUGUGGAUUGCGGGUACUCGAGUGGCGAACGGGUGAGUAACACGUGAGUGAUCUGCCCCCAACUUGGGUAUAAGCCUGGGAAACUGGGUCUAAUUCCCGAUAGGACUGCAGGGUGGUGCCUGUGGUGGAAAACGAUUUUCUAGUGGUUGGGGAUGAGCUCGCGGCCUAUCAGCUUGUUGGUGGGGUAAUGGCCUACCAAGGCGGCGACGGGUAGCCGGCCUGAGAGGGUGGACGGCCACAGUGGGACUGGGAUACGGCCCAGACUGCUACGGGAGGCAGCAGUGGGGAAUAUUGCACAAUGGGCGGAAGCCUGAUGCAGCGACGCCGCGUGGGGGAUGACGGCCUUCGGGUUGUAAACUCCUUUCGACCGCGAGGAAGCCACCUGGUUGGAAGGGUGGUGACGGUAGUGGUAGAAGAAGCACCGGCUAACUACGUG